GACGAACGCUGGCGGCGUGCUUAACACAUGCAAGUCGAACGGAAAGGCCUUUUCGGAGGUACUCGAGUGGCGCACGGGGGAGUAACACGUGGGUGAUCUUCCCUGCACUCUGGGAUAAGCCUGGGAAACUGGGUCUAAUUCCGGCUUGGACCGCGCUUUAGUGUGUGUGGUGGAAAGUUUUUUCGGUGUAGGAUGAGACCGCGGCGGAGUUGCUUGUGGUUGGGGUAAAGGCCUACCAAGGCGGCGACCCGUAACCGGACUGAGAGGAUGGUCGGCAACACUGGAACUGAGACACGGUCCAGACUCCUACGGGAGGCAGCAGUGGGGAAUAUUGGACAAUGGGAGAAAGCCUGAUCCAGCCAUGCUGCGUGUGUGAAGAAGGUCUUCGGAUUGUAAAGCACUUUAAGUUGGGAGGAAGGGCAGUAAGUUAAUACCGUGCUGUUUUGACGUUACCAACAGAAUAAGCACCGGCUAACUUCGUG
Molecule: ribosomal RNA, 482 nt
Filed under: uncultured bacterium
Lineage: Bacteria
Description: partial 16S ribosomal RNA
Rfam family: Bacterial small subunit ribosomal RNA
Source: RNAcentral